CAGAGGCCCCGAGCGUUACCCGGAAUCACUGGGCGUAAAGCGUGUGUAGGUGGUUAUAUUAGUCGUGCGUUAAAACCCAGGGCCUAACCUUGGAAGUGCGCACGAAACGGUAUAACUCGAGGGCGUGAGAGGUGCAUAGAACUCUAGGUGUAGGGGUGAAAUCCGUUGAUAUCUAGGGGAAUACCGAAAGCGAAGGCAGUGCACUGGCGCGUUCCUGACACUCAUGCACGAAAGCGUGGGUAGCAAACAGGAUUAGAUACCCUGGUAGUCCACGCCCUAAACGAUGUCAACUAGGUGUUGGGAGGGUAAAACCUUUUAGUACCGGAGCUAACGCGUGAAGUUGACCGCCUGGGGAGUACGGCCGCAAGGUUA
RNAcentral lists this ribosomal RNA (372 nucleotides) under uncultured organism. Its description in RNAcentral is "bacterial SSU rRNA". It matches the Rfam family "Bacterial small subunit ribosomal RNA", at positions 526 to 896 of the family's 1533-position model. The record is from RNAcentral.